UGCUUUAGCCUGUUUUAAAGUACUCUCAGGUGGAUUUCAUAAGGCUGUGUCCCCUUGACCCCAUCUAAUUUACCCCAACAGCCAUCACCUGUUCCAACCUGUGCUUGCAUUCGCUUUUCACAAUUAAUUCCUCUAUGUCCCUCACCACCCCAGACCUUCCCCACCAGGUGAAGGUGGUUCCUCCUCACCAUCACCUUUCCCUUGUUCUCCUUUUCCUCCCAGCCGAUGCCUCCCUGCGUCCACCACGCCGUUUUUGUGUCCGCCACCACUCCAGCUCCUUCCUCGCGGAUUUAUAACGCUGCCACUCACGCCGCCUUCUCCUCCCCGUGAGUAAUAGCGAGCCCCUGGGCAGUUACUGCAGCUCAGGAGGCACGCAGUCAUUUGUUCCCAGCUCGGUGCCUCGAGUGUGGAGAAGAGCCCAGCAAACCCAAACCACCGGCUUGCAGCCUGUCACCCCGGGGGAGGCGGCAGCCCUGCCAGCAUCACCCGGGAGCCUCCAGAGCACAACACUUCCACACAAAGGGAAUCCAGCUGAUGCACAGAGGGAUCCAACCCUGGCUCUGCUGGGACAUGGGACGGAAGACACCAGCUGCUGACGACUAUUCCAAGCAGCAGACGAGGCCUGCUGCCAUCUGGGUUUCCUCUAAGUAACAGAUAAUGCCAAGAUUGUCUCAUUCCCUGGCUUCGGAGGGACCCGAGGCAGAGCCUACUGACGGCCCCGAUUUAAUUAGGGGAAGCACCGAGGGCAGGCCAGAGCCCCGCUGGCUGCCACCCCGCAGCGGAGAUCCGCGAGGGAUUCAGCGGGAGCAUCCCCCGAGGAUGGUGUCAGAGCCCGGGGGAGCCUUUCUGGUGCUACUGAGCCAUCGCAAGCACACGCAGCUGGCUGGAACAACCCAGCGAGGGGGGCAAACGCCGCGGAGAAGCCCGGAGGAAAGCAUCCAGCAUCUCAGGCGUAGCCAGGGAGCCCGGGGCUCGCUGCGGCCCAUCGGUAUGUGGAGCAGAGGGCAGACACCCAGCUCCACGCCGGAGGAGCACGAAGCGAGGGGGCAGUGCCAAGCACGGGCCUGCAGCCCCGGAGAAAAGCCGCUUCAUGCUGCGAGCCUCGGCUCCACCAGCUUGGCACCGGCGUCACGGAUAUAUCUCGCCCUCUUUCUCUCGCAGGGCGCGUACACGUACGCACACGUUUGUUUUUAUCCUCCCUUUGUUGUUUUCUGAUUAAUAUCUUGCUAGAAAAGCCACCAGGCCCAUCCCCUGAGCCCCCUUUUUGCUGCUACCCUGCGGCACGCAGCCUCCGUGGGAGCUGCAGGCAGGGGAGCCCCGGAGCAGGACACUGCUCGGGGCAGCUCCUGCGCGUCCCAGCCCUCUCCGGGUGGCUCAGGGUGGGUAAAUCCCGCCUGCAAAAUGCGGGAAAGGAGGGAAAAAAAAGGAGACAACUCCCGUUUCUCCCAUUUCCAGCGGCUGUGGCUGUCACACUGACCUGGGGUGAAAGCGGGGAGCACGCUGGCAGCAAAGCGUUUGCUUCCUGCCUGCCCAGCCCCGACAGGAGCCCGGGGAGCUGGGAGGAGGAGGAGGAGCGCAGACAAAGGCGAGCCUUCCUCUGAGUCACGCAGCAUCUCGGGGGACGCUCCUGCACCAUGGCUGGGGCCGGUUGGGGCGGCAGCACCCCUGCCCCGCUCCCUGUGGGGUCUCCGCGUCCCUCUCCUUGUCGGUGGGCACCCAGUGCCAUGGGAAAAGGGCCCUUUUUGCCCCGUUACCAUGGGGAUGGGGAUGCGGGGUGGGCAUCGCACAGCCACCCCGAGCCAGGUGCUGCUGGGGAGCCUCGGCUUCACGUAUAGGGGUGCCCACACCGGGGGCUGCUCCCCUCCUUCUCCCCUUUGUUCCCCCUCUCGGGGAUUAGGAAGUGGAUUAGGAAAAGGCCUGAGCGGCGCUGCUAAAGGACGGGGAGACGGCUCCGUUUCCCAAACAUCCCCACCGUCACGUUCCCUCUCUGCACCAAAAAAAAAAAA
Molecule: long non-coding RNA, 2006 nt
Organism: Anas platyrhynchos (mallard)
Lineage: Eukaryota; Metazoa; Chordata; Aves; Anseriformes; Anatidae
Source: RefSeq, a predicted model, not a curated record